UCAUAUGGGGGCGCUGUGCUGUUUAAACAUGAGGGAAACCUGAUCAAAUAUUUUACUACAACAGACACGCAAGUACAAAUCAGCACAAUAGACAUUCAGAUGUUCAACAUGAUCAGAGCUGCCAGUAUUAUAUGGGUUUUAAUGAUAUGUCCUGGAGGUUUUUCUCAGAGUAAUCGUGUUAAACAGAAUCCUCCUGAUCUCUUUGGCAACCAUCAAAACUCUGUUAAAAUCCAGUGUGAGCACAGUGUACCAAGUUAUGAUCAAAUCUAUUGGUACAGACAAGACCAGGGACUGACCUUUAUUGGAUACCAGUGGGGAAAAUCUUCAACACAAAUUGGAAAUUAUUUUAAGACUAAAGUGGAGAUUGUUGGGGAUGGAAACAAAAACGUCUCUUUGACCAUCAAAAAUCUUUUAUCCAAUGACAGUACAGUGUACUUCUGUGCUGCUUAUUACACAGUGCUGCAUAUCUGCUUUAUUCAGUACAAAAACCUCUGUGUAAAUAUUCUCAGUAUCACAUUAACACCUGCUCCUGUGGCCUGGAAUUGACACAUUGCCAGUGUUUUUAACAGAAAAGCCACACAUCUAAUCUAAUUUAAGAAUUAAUCUUUUCUUACAGAAAGGCCUUUUGUAGUUAACAAUGUUUAUCAGACUCCUAGCUGUUUUAAUCAAGAAUAUACAGAACUCUACAAACCUUUCCUGUUUUCACUCCAUACCUGACCAUCAGGUGAUGCUGUGGUACAAACGAUCAAAAAACACACAAUUACAGCUUUCUGGAUAUCUAAAUACACAUUUUCCAUUUCCUGAAGACCUUCGAGAUCCAUGACCUCCUUCAGAGCAGCUCUAGGCAAGCUACAUAUGUACCU
Tachysurus fulvidraco (yellow catfish) is the source of this 863-nucleotide non-coding RNA. The record is from the annotation of a RefSeq genome assembly. Lineage: Eukaryota; Metazoa; Chordata; Actinopteri; Siluriformes; Bagridae.